RNAcentral lists this ribosomal RNA (112 nucleotides) under Nanobdellota archaeon. The record is from RNAcentral. Lineage: Archaea; Nanobdellati; Nanobdellota.
CUCGGUGAUUAAGUCCGGAGUGACCUACCCGAUCCAUCCCGAACUCGGAAGUAAAAGCUCCGGAUCUCGAUGAUACUGCGCCUCGAGCGUGGGACAGUAGAGUUUGCCGGGA